UGGGGAAUAUUGCACAAUGGGCGCAAGCCUGAUGCAGCCAUGCCGCGUGUAUGAAGAAGGCCUUCGGGUUGUAAAGUACUUUCAGCGGGGAGGAAGGCGAUAAGGUUAAUAACCUUGUCGAUUGACGUUACCCGCAGAAGAAGCACCGGCUAACUCCGUGCCAGCAGCCGCGGUAAUACGGAGGGUGCAAGCGUUAAUCGGAAUUACUGGGCGUAAAGCGCACGCAGGCGGUCUGUCAAGUCGGAUGUGAAAUCCCCGGGCUCAACCUGGGAACUGCAUUCGAAACUGGCAGGCUAGAGUCUUGUAGAGGGGGGUAGAAUUCCAGGUGUAGCGGUGAAAUGCGUAGAGAUCUGGAGGAAUACCGGUGGCGACGGCGGCCCCCUGGACAAAGACUGACGCUCAGGUGCGAAAGCGUGGGGAGCAAACA
This 427-nucleotide ribosomal RNA is filed under the name uncultured bacterium. Its description in RNAcentral is "partial 16S ribosomal RNA". It matches the Rfam family "Bacterial small subunit ribosomal RNA", at positions 355 to 774 of the family's 1533-position model. The record is from RNAcentral.